CCUACGGGUGGCUGCAGUGGGGAAUAUUGCACAAUGGGGGAAACCCUGAUGCAGCGACGCCGCGUGAAGGAAGAAGUAUUUCGGUAUGUAAACUUCUAUCAGCAGGGAAGAAAAUGACGGUACCUGACUAAGAAGCCCCGGCUAACUACGUGCCAGCAGCCGCGGUAAUACGUGGGUGGCAAGCGUUAUCCGGAUUUACUGGGUGUAAAGGGUGCGUAGGCGGUUUGGUAAGUCAGAAGUGAAAGCCCCGGGCUCAACUGGGGGAGUGCCUUUGAAACUGUUGAACUAGAUUGCAGGAGAGGUAAGUGGAAUGCCUAGUGUAGCGGUGAAAUGUGUAGAUAUUAGGCGGAACACCAGUGGCGAAGGCGGCUUACGGGACUGUAAAUGACGCUGAGGCUCGAAAGCGUGGGGAGCAAACAGGAUUAGAUACCCCAGUAGUC
RNAcentral lists this ribosomal RNA (440 nucleotides) under uncultured bacterium. RNAcentral's name for it is "partial 16S ribosomal RNA". It matches the Rfam family "Bacterial small subunit ribosomal RNA", at positions 338 to 795 of the family's 1533-position model. The record is from RNAcentral.